GGUAUUCUGUAGGAUUGCUAUUAAAAAGGUGUCCUGAAUAGUACAAAAUGAAAUGAGAUUUUAGGUUGAGCACUUUAUAUUUAUUUUGUUCCCUUUUUCUUUUCUUUAUUCUUCUUUUGCUGACCCAAAUAUAUUAGGAUUGAGAUGUUGUUGUUGGGGUAGGAAAUAGUGGCAGAGGAAAAGAUUAAGAAAGGAGGGCUUUUGGUGGGAUUUGAACCUUGUACCUGAAUGAGUAGGA
RNAcentral lists this long non-coding RNA (238 nucleotides) under Nicotiana benthamiana. RNAcentral's name for it is "long non-coding RNA (NBEN_LNC001223)". The record is from RNAcentral. Lineage: Eukaryota; Viridiplantae; Streptophyta; Magnoliopsida; Solanales; Solanaceae.